CACGUAGGGCGCAAGCGUUUGUCCGGAAUUAUUGGGCGUAAAGAGCUCGUAGGCGGUCUGUUGCGUCCGCUGUGAAACUCGGGGCUUAACCCCGAGCCUGCAGUGGAUACGGGCAGACUAGAGGUAGGUAGGGGAGAAUGGAAUUCCCGGUGUAGCGGUGAAAUGCGCAGAUAUCGGAGGAACACCGGUGGCGAAGGCGGUUCUCUGGGCCUUACCUGACGCUGAGGAGCGAAAGCGUGGGGAGCGAACAGGAUUAGACUACCCCGAG
This 268-nucleotide ribosomal RNA is filed under the name uncultured bacterium. RNAcentral's name for it is "partial 16S ribosomal RNA". It matches the Rfam family "Bacterial small subunit ribosomal RNA", at positions 524 to 791 of the family's 1533-position model. The record is from RNAcentral.